GAUGAACGCUGGCGGCGUGCCUAAUACAUGCAAGUCGAGCGAACGGACGAGAAGCUUGCUUUUCUGAUGUUAGCGGCGGACGGGUGAGUAACACGUGGAUAACCUACCUAUAAGACUGAGAUAACUUCGGGAAACCGGAGCUAAUACCGGAUAAUAUUUUGAACCGCAUGGUUCAAAAGUGAAAGACGGUCUUGCUGUCACUUAUAGAUGGAUCCGCGCUGCAUUAGCUAGUUGGUAAGGUAACGGCUUACCAAGGCAACGGUGCAUAGCCGACCUGAGAGGGUGAUCGGCCACACUGGAACUGAGACACGGUCCAGACUCCUACGGGAGGCAGCAGGAGGGAAUCCUCCGCAAUGGGCGAAAGCCUGACGGAGCAACGCCGCGUGAGUGAUGAAGGGCUUCGGAUCGUAAAACUCUGUUAUUAGGGAAGAACAUAUGUGUAAGUAACUGUGCACAUCUUGACGGUACCUAAUCAGAAAGCCACGGCUAACUACGUG
RNAcentral lists this ribosomal RNA (497 nucleotides) under uncultured bacterium. RNAcentral describes it as "partial 16S ribosomal RNA". It matches the Rfam family "Bacterial small subunit ribosomal RNA", at positions 28 to 507 of the family's 1533-position model. The record is from RNAcentral.